RNAcentral lists this non-coding RNA (30 nucleotides) under Cricetulus griseus (Chinese hamster). Lineage: Eukaryota; Metazoa; Chordata; Mammalia; Rodentia; Cricetidae. The record is from RNAcentral. RNAcentral also lists the same sequence under 1 other name.
GGGUGAACCGGCCCAGGUCGGAAACGGAGC